RNAcentral lists this ribosomal RNA (492 nucleotides) under uncultured bacterium. RNAcentral's name for it is "partial 16S ribosomal RNA". It matches the Rfam family "Bacterial small subunit ribosomal RNA", at positions 29 to 507 of the family's 1533-position model. The record is from RNAcentral.
AGUGAACGCUGGCGGUAGGCCUAACACAUGCAAGUCGAACGGCAGCACAGUAAGAGCUUGCUCUUACGGGUGGCGAGUGGCGGACGGGUGAGGAAUACAUCGGAAUCUACUUUUUCGUGGGGGAUAACGUAGGGAAACUUACGCUAAUACCGCAUACGACCUACGGGUGAAAGCAGGGGAUCUUCGGACCUUGCGCGAUUGAAUGAGCCGAUGUCGGAUUAGCUAGUUGGCGGGGUAAAGGCCCACCAAGGCGACGAUCCGUAGCUGGUCUGAGAGGAUGAUCAGCCACACUGGAACUGAGACGCGGUCCAGACUCCUACGGGAGUCAGCAGUGUGGAAUAUUGGACAAUGGGCGCAAGCCUGAUCCAGCCAUACCGCGUGGGUGAAGAAGGCCUUCGGGUUGUAAAGCCCUUUUGUUGGGAAAGAAAAGCAGCAGGUUAAUACCCCGCUGUUCUGACGGUACCCAAAGAAUAAGCACCGGCUAACUUCGUG